UUUGCCCUAAAAUAUUCUCUGCCUUCUCUAUAAAUUUCCAGCUCUCUGAACGGUUCAAUCUUGAGUUGGAAGGUGCUUAGACGUUCACCACACCGAAGGCUUCCUUUUGAACCGAUAGUAUUUUCGUUUGGACCGGGUUUGGAUUGAGUUCGCGUGUGUGAGAUACCAAAAAGGGGCGUCCUUGUGAGCUUGGUAAUACAACUCUAAGAAAUUGUUGAGGAGAUACUUUUGGAGCAAGAACUAGAGGACACUGAUGCUGUAGUGCAGUCUAGUUAGAAAUUUCCUAUUUGAACGCUUGAAGUGUUGAAUACUCUAAAC
This 318-nucleotide small RNA is filed under the name Vigna angularis var. angularis. Its description in RNAcentral is "Non-protein coding transcript". Lineage: Eukaryota; Viridiplantae; Streptophyta; Magnoliopsida; Fabales; Fabaceae. The record is from RNAcentral.